AUACUAACCUUGCGUAGGGUGUACCGUGAUCAUGAAGGCGGUUGCCCCGGGCCGGCGCCGGCUAUUGCACCGCGGCCGGGAGAAGGCCGGCCUGUGACUAUCCCGUCAGGGGUACGUCGUGCGCGUAAUUUUUGAUAGUGGGACUUGCGUUCUUGCGCAGUCCAU
Small nuclear RNA from Manduca sexta (tobacco hornworm), 165 nucleotides. RefSeq annotates it as U1 spliceosomal RNA. The record is from RefSeq and is a predicted model, not a curated record. Lineage: Eukaryota; Metazoa; Arthropoda; Insecta; Lepidoptera; Sphingidae. The transcript has a single exon.